GGUGAUGGAGAUGAGGGCACUCGA
This 24-nucleotide non-coding RNA is filed under the name Arabidopsis thaliana (thale cress). Lineage: Eukaryota; Viridiplantae; Streptophyta; Magnoliopsida; Brassicales; Brassicaceae. The record is from RNAcentral.